GUGCUGGCUUCAGCAGCACAUAUACUAAAAUUGGAACGAUACAGAGAUUAGCAUGGUCCCUGUGCAAGGAUGACAUGCAAAUUUGUGAAGUGUUCCAUAUUUUU
This is a small nuclear RNA of Lagenorhynchus albirostris (white-beaked dolphin), 104 nucleotides long. The record is from RefSeq and is a predicted model, not a curated record. Lineage: Eukaryota; Metazoa; Chordata; Mammalia; Artiodactyla; Delphinidae.